CGUACACGAACUUCCUAUUUACCAAAUCGUUUAAGCGGGAAUUUCAUGACUGAACAGAGUCUAACAGUUUUACAUGUUAAAUCUUAAAAAAUGUUGUUAUCAUUAAUGAUAAAUGAAGAACGACUUUCUUUUUUUUGCGAUUUUUUAUAGGCUAUUAGCCACUCGAGAUGUAUGUACCUUAUGUGAUUGAGCUAUGCCCUGAAAAAUUAAAGACAAACGAAAAAGUUUCUAAGCUUCAUACCAAACAAUUGAAAUUUUUCUGACAUUGACCUAA
RNAcentral lists this long non-coding RNA (274 nucleotides) under Mytilus galloprovincialis (Mediterranean mussel). Lineage: Eukaryota; Metazoa; Mollusca; Bivalvia; Mytilida; Mytilidae. The record is from RNAcentral.